AGUUUCGGCGUUUUUUCCAGAGAGGCAGGCUCACAGCGAUAUCGCGAGAGACGGGAAUUGCUCUGUCACGCAAGCUGGAGUGCAGUGGUGCCAUCUCGGCUCACUGUGACCUCUGCCUCCUGGGCUCAAGCCAUCCUCCCACCUCAGCCCUUCAAGUAGCUGGGAUUACAGGUCACCAUCCUCUCACUCGCCUCUGACUUUUCGCACAGGAGAGAGCUGGUCGAAUAGUACAAUUCCCCGAUGUGAAUGGGGAGAAGCUGGGGAAAGGAAGAAUGAUCUUCAGGCAGUAAGGGCCCCUACUCCAGUAUGAUUGGUGUCCUUAUAAAAAGGAGAAAUUGGACACAGACACCCUACCAAGAAGAACACUAUGUGAAGAUGAAGGCAGAGAUCAGGGUGAUGCCUCUACUUGCUGAGAAACUCCUACAGUUGCCAGCCCACCACUAGAAGCAAAGGAAGAAGCACAGCCCUCAGAAGGAACCAACCCUGCUAAUGCCUUGGUCUUGGACUUGCAGCCUCCAGAACAGCGAGCCAAUACAUUCCUGUGGUUUAAGCCACUGACUGUGGCACUUUAUUACAGCAGCACUAGGAAACUCAUACAGGAGGUGACAGUGCUCAGAUGAAACAGGACCUUCCACUUCCAUGGCAAAGCCCUCAUCUUUCGUGCCCAUGCGCCAUUUGAUCUGCACACAAAUCACUGAGCAGGUUCCUCAGCUAUUAUUAUCCCCACCUUUCAGAUGGAAAGAACUGAAGCUCAAGAGGGCCAAAGAAAUUUGGCUAUGGCUUUCUUUAUUUUCUUUUUCAUGGGCAGAAGUAGAUUUCAGUUUUGGUCCCUUUCCACUACCAUAUCAGGUUGCCUUAAGGCAACUUUGAAAAGUCUAAAAUAUUAAACAGUUUGUGAAGUUAUUAUCAUUAUUCAUAAAGGACAGCGCGAGGUUAGUCUUACCCUAGAGAGCCCCAUUGUUGGCCCAAAGCAUCUUGCCAGGAGCCCUAUAGGACCAUGUUUUCAAGGCCCCCAAAGAGCACAGGGCUAUUGGUCCAUCCCAGCUCCUGGAAUGGCUCAUUGUACCCACCCUGCCUCCAGCUGAGGAGCCAGGGAGAAGCACUGACCCCUGAUCUUGCUAUCCCUUCCAUUACACUCUUGCCAGAGGAGCUUUUUUCAGGGGUGGCCGCUUCCCUCUCCUCAAGAGAAUUCUGGGGACCAACCAGCUCAGGCCUGCUGUUGGCCUCAGGGUCACAUCUCACCCAGACACCCCCACCAUUCCCUCAGGUCUAGGGAUGCUGCUCCCCUACCAUGGGAUCUUCUUUUUAUUUUUAUUUAUUUAUAUUUUCCUUAUGCCUAGUGUAAAGGGAUUUCUUUUCUUUUUUGUUUUUGUUUUUUUUUUGAGAUGGAGUCUUGCUCUGUCACCCAGGCUGGAGUGCAGUGCAGUGGCGCUAUCUCGGCUCACUGCAACCUCCACCUCCUGGGUUCAAGUGAUUCUCCUGCCUCAGCCUCCCAGGAGCUGGGAUUACAGGUGUGCCACCACAUUUGGCUAAUUUUUUUACUUUUAGUAGAGAUGGGGUUUCACCAUGUUGGCCAGGCUAGUCUCGAUCUCCUGACCUCAGGUGAUCCACCCGCCUCAGCCUCCCAGAAUGCUGGGAUUACAGGCAUGAGCCACCGCUCCCAGCCAGGAUCUUCUUUUUAAAGCUAUCACCACCCACUCUCAUUCCCCAGGACUCUCCUCACCCCUCCGGCUGCAAAGGCAGCUGGUGUCCCUACUGGCUCCUUCCUUUCUGCCCCUAAAGACAGGCACACAGGUGAUUUUCCUUUUAAGUGUUUUUCUGUGGAUUACUGCGGGGAAAUUGACAGGGGCUACAGGGGCUGAUAAAAGGAAUAAUCUUUGAUAUUCUUUCAGUUGGGUCGCUGAUUUUCUUGCUGGGCUGACAAGAGCAAUCUUCCCUACUUGGAAUCUUGGUUUUAUUCCUUAGCAUGGGCCUUAUCAAACCUACUUUUUAAUGAAGGGAGAAUGAAGAAGCCAUUGAAGCAGACCUCUAGCUGCCAGUCAGGUCUGCUCUGAAGGCUGCCUAUCUGCGGGGACAUGUGACUUCUGGGGCUUUCCAGAUUAAGUAAUGCUCACCCCACAUGUCUGAAAUUCUCCAAACACUAUUCCGGCCCUGCUGUGAUUCUUAGAGCAGAGGUUCUUUGCCUUUUUAGUGUAAUGGAUCCCUCAGCAACUUGGUGAGCCCUUCUCAGAAUAAAGUUUCUAAUGCAGAAAGUAAAACACAUGGGAUAAUAAGGGAAGUCAUGUCCUUUGAAAUCCUUAUCAAAAAUAUUUUUCAAAUUUUGUGAUAUAAUAAGUUUGGUUGCUAUUAUAUAGCAUAAUAUAACUUCAUAUCUAAUAGCUAUUGUUAUUUUGAAGUAGUGGUGAAUAUAUAUGCUAUUUUGAGAUGUCUAAAACAACUGUAAUGUGUUACAAAAAUAUCCAUGAUUUCUAUCGGUGACAAAGUCAAAAGUAUCGUGAAUACGUCUGUGAUUUGCAAGCUACAUCCAAAAUGGAAGGAAAUCCUAAUGUUUGGUUAGUGAUUGAUAAAAAUAAAGAUGUGGGCGGGCGCGGUGGCUCACGCCUGUAAUCCCAGCACUUUGGGAAGCCAAGGCGGGCAGAUCAUGAAGUCAGGAGAUCAAGAUCAUCCUGGCCAGCAUGGUGAAACGCCGUCUCUACUAAAAAUAAAAAAAUUAGCUGGGCAUGGUGGCGUGUGUCUGUAGUCCCAGCUACUUGGGAGGCUGAGACAGGAGAAUCACUUGAACCCAGGAGGCG
Molecule: long non-coding RNA, 2792 nt
Filed under: Homo sapiens (human)
Lineage: Eukaryota; Metazoa; Chordata; Mammalia; Primates; Hominidae
Description: non-protein coding RBM15-AS1:28
Source: RNAcentral